CCUAGGGAGGGCAGCAGUGGGGAAUAUUGGACAAUGGGCGAAAGCCUGAUCCAGCCAUGCCGCGUGUGUGAAGAAGGCCUUCGGGUUGUAAAGCACUUUCAGUGGGGAAGAAAGCCUUGGGGCUAAUACCCUCGAGGAAGGACAUCACCCACAGAAGAAGCACCGGCUAACUCCGUGCCAGCAGCCGCGGUAAUACGGAGGGUGCGAGCGUUAAUCGGAAUUACUGGGCGUAAAGCGCGCGUAGGCGGUCUGAUAAGCCGGUUGUGAAAGCCCCGGGCUCAACCUGGGAACGGCAUCCGGAACUGUCAGGCUAGAGUGCAGGAGAGGAAGGUAGAAUUCCCGGUGUAGCGGUGAAAUGCGUAGAGAUCGGGAGGAAUACCAGUGGCGAAGGCGGUCUUCUGGACUGACACUGACGCUGAGGUGCGAAAGCGUGGGUAGCAAACAGGAUUAGAUACCCGUGUAGUC
Molecule: ribosomal RNA, 465 nt
Filed under: Vreelandella stevensii
Lineage: Bacteria; Pseudomonadati; Pseudomonadota; Gammaproteobacteria; Oceanospirillales; Halomonadaceae
Description: partial 16S ribosomal RNA
Rfam family: Bacterial small subunit ribosomal RNA
Source: RNAcentral